UACGUAGGAGACGAGCGUUGUCCGGAAUCACUGGGCGUAAAGCGCGUGUAGGCGGAUGAGCAAGUCUGCUGUGAAAACUCCUGGCUUAACCGGGAGAGGUCGGUGGAAACUGCUCGUCUGGAGGACGGUAGAGGCUGGUGGAAUUCCCGGUGUAGUGGUGAAAUGCGUAGAGAUCGGGAGGAACACCUGUGGCGAAGGCGGCCAGCUGGGCCGGACCUGACGCUGAGACGCGAAGGCGUGGGGAGCGAACGGG
Molecule: ribosomal RNA, 253 nt
Filed under: uncultured bacterium
Lineage: Bacteria
Description: partial 16S ribosomal RNA
Rfam family: Bacterial small subunit ribosomal RNA
Source: RNAcentral